GGGCUUUUGCAUAAAUCCCACCUUCAAAUUAAGCCCAAUUCAAGUUUUAUGAACCAGUUUAAGCCCAAAUUUUGAUUUGGAAAAAUUUUAGAAAUUGAGGCCAACGUUUUCGAUAUUUUUUUUAUAAAUGAAAAAUAAAUUUAGAGAGCUUUCUUCUCAUUUGAGGUUCGAUUUUUCUAUAUUAAGAAAAUGUGUCAAAUUUAAAUAAAUAUUUAACCAGUAUUAGUAACAGUAGGCUUAAAAGCUCACACUUUCUCUUUCCCCUGUUAUUAAUGGGGUAUCCCGGUGCGAGAACCUAACGUGCUUAGGUUAGGCUCACUGAUGCCCUUGCUUAAGUUACAAACUUGAGCUACCAAGUUCGGCA
This 364-nucleotide long non-coding RNA is filed under the name Gossypium barbadense (sea-island cotton). RNAcentral describes it as "long non-coding RNA (GBAR_LNC005820)". Lineage: Eukaryota; Viridiplantae; Streptophyta; Magnoliopsida; Malvales; Malvaceae. The record is from RNAcentral.